Molecule: long non-coding RNA, 416 nt
Filed under: Actinidia chinensis (golden kiwifruit)
Lineage: Eukaryota; Viridiplantae; Streptophyta; Magnoliopsida; Ericales; Actinidiaceae
Description: long non-coding RNA (ACHI_LNC001707)
Source: RNAcentral
AAAGAACAAAAUAUAAUAAUACUUUCCUAAACAACUUUCAAAAAUAUAAACACCAGAGAAGAAGGGGAAGAGAGAGAGAGAGAGAGUCACAGAGCAGAGAGAGAGAGGAUUCCGAUGGAAACCUGAGUCUCGCCUCUUUGUCUGAGAGGGCGCUUUCAAUCCUAAUUUCUCUCUCUCUCUCUCUCUCUCUGUUUCGCUGCGUAAACCCUAGCUAUGGCGUCUCUAACGGCGUCUCAUUGAUACGUCCGAUGCCAGUGAACCGGCGGGGUUCGCCGAAACCGCACCGACAUGGCCUCGCGGCAUCGUCUAGGGUUUUGUGUCGCAUUCGAUCUCAGAUUUCCCGGAGCCCUACUUGAAAAUCACUGAUCGAAGAACUAAGUUUCAAUUGAAUUGCGGUGAGAGAUAUCGUUUCUGUG